AGUUUUCGCACUCUAACUUUAGUAAAAGUGAAUGGAAAUCUGUGAAAUUUGAACACAAGGUUUAUGACCACAAAAGGAAGGUUGGUAUUGAUUUUGGGAGUUUUGUUCCCAACAUUUUAGGAAUUAGGGGCCAAAAAGGGCCCAAAUAAGCAUUUUCUUGGUUUUCGCACUAUAACUUAAGUUUAAGUGUAUAGAAAUCUAUGAAAUUUUGACACAAG
Molecule: long non-coding RNA, 218 nt
Filed under: Mytilus galloprovincialis (Mediterranean mussel)
Lineage: Eukaryota; Metazoa; Mollusca; Bivalvia; Mytilida; Mytilidae
Source: RNAcentral